UUGGAGGGCAAGUCUGGUGCCAGCAGCUGCGGUAAUUCCAACUCCAAUAGCGUAUAUUAAAGUUGUUGCAGUUAAAAAGCUCGUAGUUGAAUUUCGGGAUUGACGUGAUGGUCAUGCCUUAAGGGGUAUGAACUGUUGCUGUUGAUUUCUCACCUUCUGGAGAAACUUGAUGUCCUUAAUUGGGUGUCUUGCAGAUCCAGGACCUUUACCUUGAAAAAAUUAGAGUGUUUAAAGCAGGCAUUUUUGCUCGAAUACAUUAGCAUGGAAUAAUAGAAUAGGACGGCAUGGUUCUAUUUUGUUGGUUUCUAGGAUCACCGUAAUGAUUAAUGGGGAUAGUUGGGGGCAUUAGUAUUCAAUUGUCAGAGGUGAAAUCCUUGGAUUUAUUGAAGACAAACUACUGCGAAAGCAUUUGCCAAGGAUGUUUUCAUUAAUCAAGAACGAAAGUUAGGGGAUCGAAGACGAUCAGAUACCGUCGUAGUCUUAACCAUAAACUAUGCCGACUAGGUAUCAGACGAUGUUAAUUUUUUAAUGACUCGUUUGGCACCUUACGGGAAACCAAAGUGUUUGGGUUC
This 572-nucleotide ribosomal RNA is filed under the name uncultured Glomeromycotina. RNAcentral's name for it is "SSU rRNA". It matches the Rfam family "Eukaryotic small subunit ribosomal RNA", at positions 548 to 1114 of the family's 1831-position model. The record is from RNAcentral. Lineage: Eukaryota; Fungi; Glomeromycota.